ACGAACGCUGGCGGCGUGCUUAACACAUGCAAGUCGAACGGAAAGGCCCUGCUUUUGUGGGGUGCUCGAGUGGCGAACGGGUGAGUAACACGUGAGUAACCUGCCCUUGACUUUGGGAUAACUUCAUGAAACUGGGGCUAAUACCGGAUAGGAGCUCCUGCUGCAUGGUGGGGUUUGAAAAUUUUCGGGGGUUGGGGAUGGACCCGCGGCUUAUCAGCUUGUUGGUGGGGUAUUGGCUUACCAAGGCUUUGACGGGUAGCCGGCCUGAGAGGGUGACCGGCCACAUUGGGACUGAGAUACGGCCCAGACUCCUACGGGAGGCAGCAGUGGGGAAUAUUGCACAAUGGGCGGAAGCCUGAUGCAGCAACGCCGCGUGCGGGAUGACGGCCUUCGGGUUGUAAACCGCUUUCGCCUGUGACGAAGCGUGAGUGACGGUAAUGGGUAAAGAAGCACCGGCUAACUACGUG
RNAcentral lists this ribosomal RNA (467 nucleotides) under uncultured bacterium. RNAcentral describes it as "partial 16S ribosomal RNA". It matches the Rfam family "Bacterial small subunit ribosomal RNA", at positions 29 to 507 of the family's 1533-position model. The record is from RNAcentral.